AUGCAUGUCUAAGUUCACACUGUCUCACGGUGAAACCGCGAAUGGCUCAUUAAAUCAGUCGAGGUUCCUUAGAUGACACGAUCCUACUUGGAUAACUGUGGCAAUUCUAGAGCUAAUACAUGCUUAUCAAGCUCCGACCCUCGUGGAAAGAGCGCUUUUAUUAGUUCAAAACCAACCGCGUUCGCCCUCGCGGGCUGCGCGUCCUUUUUGGUGACUCUGGAUAACUUUGUGCUGAUCGCAUGGCCUUGUGCCGGCGACGCAUCUUUCAAAUGUCUGCCCUAUCAAAUGUCGAUGGUACGUGAUAUGCCUACCAUGUUUGUAACGGGUAACGGGGAAUCAGGGUUCGAUUCCGGAGAGGGAGCAUGAGAAACGGCUACCACA
RNAcentral lists this ribosomal RNA (381 nucleotides) under Cuvierina atlantica. RNAcentral's name for it is "SSU rRNA". It matches the Rfam family "Eukaryotic small subunit ribosomal RNA", at positions 51 to 414 of the family's 1831-position model. The record is from RNAcentral. Lineage: Eukaryota; Metazoa; Mollusca; Gastropoda; Pteropoda; Cuvierinidae.